RNAcentral lists this ribosomal RNA (460 nucleotides) under uncultured bacterium. RNAcentral's name for it is "partial 16S ribosomal RNA". It matches the Rfam family "Bacterial small subunit ribosomal RNA", at positions 338 to 795 of the family's 1533-position model. The record is from RNAcentral.
CCUACGGGCGGCAGCAGUGAGGAAUAUUGGUCAAUGGGCGUAAGCCUGAACCAGCCAAGUCGCGUGAGGGAUGAAGGUUCUAUGGAUCGUAAACCUCUUUUAUAAGGGAAUAACGUGCGGGACGUGUCCCGUUUUGUAUGUACCUUAUGAAUAAGGAUCGGCUAACUCCGUGCCAGCAGCCGCGGUAAUACGGAGGAUCCGAGCGUUAUCCGGAUUUAUUGGGUUUAAAGGGUGCGUAGGCGGCCUUUUAAGUCAGCGGGGAAAGUCUUUGGCUCAACCAUAGAAUUGCCGUUGAAACUGGGAGGCUUGAGUAUGUUUGAGGCAGGCGGAAUGCGUGGUGUAGCGGUGAAAUGCUUAGAUAUCACGCAGAACCCCGAUUGCGAAGGCAGCCUGCCAAGCCAUGACUGACGCUGAUGCACGAAAGCGUGGGGAUCAAACAGGAUUAGAUACCCUUGUAGUC